This 48-nucleotide small nucleolar RNA is filed under the name Pyrobaculum neutrophilum V24Sta. RNAcentral's name for it is "PNEsR125". The record is from RNAcentral. Lineage: Archaea; Thermoproteati; Thermoproteota; Thermoprotei; Thermoproteales; Thermoproteaceae.
GUGACGAGACCAGGCUGGGUGAUGUGUGAUCGUGGUUAAUAGCGCUGA